UGUCAAUCUGUCAUUUUAAGACUUCUCAAA
RNAcentral lists this non-coding RNA (30 nucleotides) under Mus musculus (house mouse). Lineage: Eukaryota; Metazoa; Chordata; Mammalia; Rodentia; Muridae. The record is from RNAcentral.